RNAcentral lists this ribosomal RNA (274 nucleotides) under uncultured bacterium. RNAcentral describes it as "partial 16S ribosomal RNA". It matches the Rfam family "Bacterial small subunit ribosomal RNA", at positions 523 to 796 of the family's 1533-position model. The record is from RNAcentral.
AUACGGAGGGGGUUAGCGUUGUUCGGAAUUACUGGGCGUAAAGCGCACGUAGGCGGACUGGAAAGUUGGGGGUGAAAUCCCGGGGCUCAACCUCGGAACUGCCUCCAAAACUUCCAAUCUUGAGAUCGAGAGAGGUGAGUGGAAUUCCAAGUGUAGAGGUGAAAUUCGUAGAUAUUUGGAGGAACACCAGUGGCGAAGGCGGCUCACUGGCUCGAUACUGACGCUGAGGUGCGAAAGCGUGGGGAGCAAACAGGAUUAGAAACCCCAGUAGUCC